RNAcentral lists this ribosomal RNA (207 nucleotides) under uncultured delta proteobacterium. RNAcentral's name for it is "partial 16S ribosomal RNA". It matches the Rfam family "Bacterial small subunit ribosomal RNA", at positions 568 to 774 of the family's 1533-position model. Lineage: Bacteria; Deltaproteobacteria. The record is from RNAcentral.
CGUGUAGGCGGCCAGAUAAGUCAGAGGUGAAAGCCCAGGGCUCAACCCUGGAAGUGCCUUUGAUACUGUUUGGCUUGAGUGCGGGAGAGGAAAGCGGAAUUCCCAGUGUAGAGGUGAAAUUCGUAGAUAUUGGGAGGAACACCGGUGGCGAAGGCGGCUUUCUGGACCGACACUGACGCUGAGGCGCGAAAGCGUGGGGAGCAAACA